Molecule: ribosomal RNA, 200 nt
Filed under: uncultured bacterium
Lineage: Bacteria
Description: partial 16S ribosomal RNA
Rfam family: Bacterial small subunit ribosomal RNA
Source: RNAcentral
GAUGAACGCUGGCGGCAUGCCUAACACAUGCAAGUCGAACGAACCCUUCGGGGUUAGUGGCGCACGGGUGCGUAACGCGUGGGAACCUGCCUUUUGGUUCGGAAUAACAGUUAGAAAUGACUGCUAAUACCGGAUAAUGUCUUCGGACCAAAGAUUUAUCGCCAUUAGAUGGGCCCGCGUAGGAUUAGCUAGUUGGUGAG